RNAcentral lists this ribosomal RNA (654 nucleotides) under uncultured archaeon. RNAcentral describes it as "bacterial SSU rRNA". It matches the Rfam family "Archaeal small subunit ribosomal RNA", at positions 508 to 1160 of the family's 1478-position model. The record is from RNAcentral.
GCCUAAAGCGUCCGUAGCCGGCUCUGUAAGUUUUCGGUUAAAUCCAUAUGCUCAACAUAUGGGCCGCCGGGAAUACUGCAUAGCUAGGGAGUGGGAGAGGUAGACGGUACUCCGUAGGAAGGGGUAAAAUCCUUUGAUCUAUGGAUGACCACCUGUGGCGAAGGCGGUCUACCAGAACACGUCUGACGGUGAGGGAUGAAAGCUGGGGGAGCAAACCGGAUUAGAUACCCGGGUAGUCCCAGCUGUAAACGAUGCAAACUCAGUGAUGCAUUGGCUUGUGGCCAGUGCAGUGCCGCAGGGAAGCCGUUAAGUUUGCCGCCUGGGAAGUACGUACGCAAGUAUGAAACUUAAAGGAAUUGGCGGGGGAGCACCACAAGGGGUGAAGCCUGCGGUUCAAUUGGAGUCAACGCCAGAAAUCUUACCCGGAGAGACAGCAGAAUGAAGGUCAAGUUGAAGCCUUUACCAGACAAGCUGAGAAGUGGUGCAUGGCCGUCGCCAGCUCGUGCCGUGAGGUGUCCUGUUAAGUCAGGUAACGAGCGAGAUCCUUGCCUCUAGUUGCUACCAUUACUCUCAGGAGUAGUGGAGCGAAUUAGCGGGACUGCCGUAGUUAAUACGGAGGAAGGAGAGGGCCACGGCAGGUCAGUAUGCCCCGAA